CCAGCAGCCGCGGUAAUACGUAGGUCCUAAGCGUUAUCCGGAUUUACUGGGCGUAAAGCGUCUGUAGCUGGAAAAAUAAGUCUGUUUUCAAAUACUGUGGCUCAACCAUAGAAAGGGAAUGGAUACUGUCUUUCUAGAGGUUAUUAGAGGUUAGUGGAAUUUCCGGUGGAGCGGUGAAAUGUGUUGAUAUCGGAAGGAACGUCAAAAGCGAAAGCAGCUAACUAUAAUAAACCUGACGGUCAGAGACGAAAGCUUGGGUAGCAAACGGGAUUAGAUACCCCGGUAGUCCAAGCCGUAAAUUAUGCUUGCUAGAUGUUUUCUCCAUUUUGGAGGGAGUGUCGUAAUCUAACGAGUUAAGCAAGCCGCCUGGGUAGUAUAUACGCAAGUAUGAAACUCAAAGGGAUAGGCGGGGGAACACACAAGCAGUGGAUUGUCUAGAUUAAUUGGAUAAUUAGCCAAAAAUCUCACCUAAACUUGACAUGUACUGUGUCCUAUGUGAAAGCAUAGUAGUCCGAGCAAUCGGACACGGUAUACAGGUGGUGCAUGGUCGUCGUCAGCUCGUGCCGCAAGGUGUCUAGUUAAGUCUAGGAACGAGCGCAACCCUCAUCUCUAGUUAGAAUGUCUAGAGAGACUGCUCGGGCAACCGAGAGGAAGGAGAGGAUGACGUCAGAUCCUCAUGCCCCUUACGUUUAGGGCUUCAUAGGCAAUACAAUGGGUGAUACAACGAGAAGCAAUACCGCGAGGCGGAGCAAAUCUUUAAAAUUAUCCUUAGUUCGGAUUGUAGUCUGGAACUCGACUGCAUGAAGUUGGAAUUGCUAGUAAUGGCGGGUCAGCUAUACCGCCGUGAAUAUGUCCCUGUUCCUUG
RNAcentral lists this ribosomal RNA (865 nucleotides) under uncultured organism. RNAcentral describes it as "bacterial SSU rRNA". It matches the Rfam family "Bacterial small subunit ribosomal RNA", at positions 508 to 1383 of the family's 1533-position model. The record is from RNAcentral.